AGGACCAACUUGGAUGGCUGUGCUCUGCAAUGCCUGUGACAGAUGUGUCACCUCUGGGCUUGCUCUCUCCAAAUGGUCCAUUUCUGUCUCAAAACACGGUGGCCAAAAGCAGAGCACCAGACUUAUGAUGAAAAUCAGCAUUUAAGCAGAGUGUUCAGUGGCACCACUCUGAAGUGUGCUGGAGCUGCCUGAUUUGGAGGGAAGAGAAGAGAGAUGGGAAAGGAUGGGUGCAUCUGAUCGAGAAAGGCUUUCUUCCAAACCUUUGUGCCAGGGAGAAGCCAUAAAGAUGGGGUUAACAGCUGACAUCGUGGAUGGGCCAUCCAAGUUGCCAACGGAGAUGCGAAAGCACCACAGAAAGCUCUGAGAUUGAUUUCUUCAGCAGCUUUUGCAGAGAGGCCAGAGGCAGUGUGCCAAGAUCUCCCAGGAUGGCUCCUGUCUGGGGCAUUGCAGCGGAUUCCUGCUCAUGAAACCCUUGUUGUAACCCACUGG
Catharus ustulatus (Swainson's thrush) is the source of this 489-nucleotide long non-coding RNA. RefSeq lists it as uncharacterized. The transcript is spliced from 3 exons. NCBI's taxonomy places the organism in Eukaryota, Metazoa, Chordata, Aves, Passeriformes, Turdidae. The record is from RefSeq and is a predicted model, not a curated record.